UACGUAGGUGGCAAGCGUUAUCCGGAAUUACUGGGUGUAAAGGGAGCGUAGACGGUAAUGUAAGUCUGGAGUGAAAGGUGGGGGCCCAACCCCCGGACUGCUCUGGAAACUAUGUUACUAGAGUGCAGGAGAGGUAAGCGGAAUUCCUAGUGUAGCGGUGAAAUGCGUAGAUAUUAGGAGGAACACCAGUGGCGAAGGCGGCUUACUGGACUGUAACUGACGUUGAGGCUCGAAAGCGUGGGGAGCAAACAGG
This 253-nucleotide ribosomal RNA is filed under the name uncultured bacterium. RNAcentral describes it as "partial 16S ribosomal RNA". It matches the Rfam family "Bacterial small subunit ribosomal RNA", at positions 524 to 776 of the family's 1533-position model. The record is from RNAcentral.